RNAcentral lists this long non-coding RNA (1396 nucleotides) under Mus musculus (house mouse). RNAcentral describes it as "long non-coding RNA chr15:101027849-101029245". The record is from RNAcentral. Lineage: Eukaryota; Metazoa; Chordata; Mammalia; Rodentia; Muridae.
GCUCACUUUAGCAUCGGACUUACAAAGGUUCAAAGAGACCACCUAGGAUUUUUUACCUUUCCCUUGCAGUGAGCAUUUUGCAUCCAUAUGUGACUUUAGCGGGUGGACACCUCGUAGGGUGCGUUAGACUGAACCUUACAAGAGUUCAUCAGCAUCUUGGAAGUGAGAGGAGUGUGCAGAGCAGGUGAUAGGCUGACUUGCCAGGAAAAACCACAGACCCAGGCUUCCACACCAGGCUCUGCUCUCAGCCACACACUUGAGCUCUGCUGUGACAUGUGCCACACCCAUGCAGGCAAACGCACCACACACACGCAUGCACGCGCCACGUAUGCACUCACCACACACAUGCACUCACAUGCCACGUGCAUACAUGCACCUGCAUGUGCAUGGGCACAAGGGCACACACACACGAGCUUGUGAGUCUGUAACCUGCUCUUCCUGUUUGAGAGGUGACUGUUCCACUGUGGACUGUCCUCUAUGGCCUGUUUUUGAUGCUUUCACCAAAGACGAACAACUGUCGAAUGAGGUAAAGAUUGAGACUGAUUAUCUAGCACCCUUGAUAAAUGUACAAAAUAACAUGGAUAAUCUCCAGGCUGCAGAGAUUCUGGGUGCCCUUGCUUGAAGGAAUAGACAUUUACAGUAGUGACUAUGUCUUGGUCUAAGAGUUAGAAAAGAACUGCCUCUUGGUCUAAAGGCAGAGAUUUUCUGAUUAUGGAUUGCAUAAUCAGAAAAUGAACAGUCUAAAGGAAGUCUGACUGUUGUUUCCAGUACAGGACAGCACAGUGUCUUCUCAGCCGUGUUUUCCAGUGAGGACGGUCUGAAGUAAAAACAGUGCUAUCAGGCCAGCCUUUCCAGGCCUUGGCCACUCCACUCAAGACAUUGUUUGACCCAGUGACCUCCAGUGUUGCUUUCUAAGCACUGGGCUCUAGUGAACACCGCUGAGCAGUGCGGGAGGUGCUGCCUGGCUGCCUCUAGUAUAGUGCAGAAACCAAGAAGCAUCUAAAGUUCCUAAAGGCUGCUCGGUUUUAACUUUGGGAAGUGUGGAGUUGAGGCCCCGACUGAGCAGAGCAUGAGCCGUCAGUGUAUCGAAGGCAGAACAGCAACGAGCCUUGAGGGAGACUCAUGUCUGCCCACAUUUUAAUCUUAAACUGUUUGGUAGAGGGAAUAUAGCUUUUUCUUUCUUCCUUGAGCCUGCAAAACUCUGCAUGCUCAGCUAUUGCCUGAGAAGAGAUAACUGCCUUGCAUAAUUGUAAGAUGUUCUGUAGUGUGCUAACCCAAAGGGCAGUGCUCUGAUUUUGAACAAUUGUGCCUUGUUUUCCAGAAGGGGAAUGUCUGGUGAAAGGCCGCUAGUGAGCAUGUGAUUGCUCUCUGAACGGAGCAUAUUUUGUGAGUUGGG